GACGAACGCUGGCGGCGUGCUUAACACAUGCAAGUGGAGCGACGAACCAGGCUUCGGCCUGGGGCAGAGCCGCGAACGGGUGAGUAACACGUGGGUAACGUGCCCCGAUGACUGGGACAACCCGAGGAAACUCGGGCUAAUACCGGAUAUGCCCCCUCACGAGAGUGAGGUGUGUAAAGGAAGCUUCGGCCUCCGCAUCGGGAUCGGCCCGCGGCGCAUUAGCUUGUUGGUGGGGUAACGGCCACCAAGGCGACGAUGCGUAGCUGGUCUGAGAGGACGAUCAGCCACACUGGGACUGAGACACGGCCCAGACUCCUACGGGAGGCAGCAGUGGGGAAUCUUGCGCAAUGCGCGAAAGCGUGACGCAGCAACGCCGCGUGGGGGAAGACGGCCUGG
This 396-nucleotide ribosomal RNA is filed under the name uncultured bacterium. RNAcentral's name for it is "bacterial SSU rRNA". It matches the Rfam family "Bacterial small subunit ribosomal RNA", at positions 28 to 419 of the family's 1533-position model. The record is from RNAcentral.